Molecule: non-coding RNA, 93 nt
Organism: Lasiosphaeria hispida
Lineage: Eukaryota; Fungi; Ascomycota; Sordariomycetes; Sordariales; Lasiosphaeriaceae
Source: the annotation of a GenBank genome assembly
GGUUGUAUAGUGUAGCGGUCAUCACAUCGGAUUCUGAUUCUCGACUGAGAAAAGGGACUUCCGGGAACCCCGGUUCGAUUCCGGGUACGACCU